This is a long non-coding RNA of Cimex lectularius (bed bug), 359 nucleotides long. RefSeq lists it as uncharacterized. The record is from RefSeq and is a predicted model, not a curated record. NCBI's taxonomy places the organism in Eukaryota, Metazoa, Arthropoda, Insecta, Hemiptera, Cimicidae. The transcript is spliced from 3 exons.
GAAUUAUACUUAGCAGCAAUAAUCUCAUGAUAUUAAGAAAAUGUUUAGUUUUCUUGCAAGAAUGGACUGGAAGAAGAGUACGAAUGUCAGUUUUAUUGUUUUUCAACAAGCGAUGUAGUCUUAUUAAUUACAAAGUCUAUCAGGAUAGAACUUAUGAAGAGCAUUUCGAACAAGUGACCAAUAUCCUGAAACGGGAGGAAAUUGAAAUCGCCGAGAUAACAUUUCUUGCAUCAUAAAUGAAUCGCUCGUACAGCACCAGUCCCAACUCAGGGUGAGCGUGUGCAAUGCAUUUUGUAAAAUUAAAAAAAAAAUUUUUUUUGCAUUUGGUUGCUACUCUUUCCUUAUCAUACUUUCUCUUG